CCCCUCUACUCUCUGUAUCUCCACUGUCUCUCUCUUUAUCUUAGACUUUCUGUUGCAUCUCUAUCUGUUGUCCAUGUCUGCUGUGACUCUGAUCCUUCCCGUUCAUCUCGUACAUCGAGCUCUUCUGCUGUUUUCGCCAGUAACACCACGCCCCGAUGGUGGCUGCCACGGCAACCGCGCACAUAGCAACCACAAUGGCUGCAACCGUGGAACCCCUGCCGGAGGAGGGAGGAGGGGGAGGAGGGCAGUCCUCCUCACCCCCAGUACACCCUGUCUCCCCCGUCUCACCUUCGCUCUCCUCCUCCUCACCCUCCAUCUCCCCGCUGUGUCGAGUCAGGUUGUGCUGGGCCGAACGUUCCUCCUCGUCGAUGACGUCAUCAGUCCACGCUGUGGGUGCGGGGCCGUGCUCCAGGAAAGGGUGCACGUGAUCCGUGGUUUCCCAGGAGCCUGUGGGAGAAGGCCUGGCUGUGUUGCCGGAGGCAUCGUCAUCCAGUGAUGAUGUCAGAGAGGGGGUGGCGUAGUCGGCUGAAUGUGAAUCUGAGGCUUCGGGGGAGAGAGGUAGGUCGGGUGAGGCUGUGGCCUCGGGGGAGAGAGGUAGGUCGGGUGAGGCUGUGGCUUCGGGGGAGAGAGGUAGGUCGGGUGAGGCUGUGGCUUCGGGGGAGAGAGGUAGGUCGGGUGAGGCUGUGGCUUCGGGGGAGAGAGGUAGGUCGGGUGAGGCUGUGGCCUCGGGGGAGAGAGGUAGGUCGGGUGAGGCUGUG
This 758-nucleotide long non-coding RNA is filed under the name Salmo salar (Atlantic salmon). RNAcentral's name for it is "lncRNA (ENSSSAG00000088013.1, ENSSSAG00000103619.1)". The record is from RNAcentral. Lineage: Eukaryota; Metazoa; Chordata; Actinopteri; Salmoniformes; Salmonidae.